This 497-nucleotide ribosomal RNA is filed under the name uncultured bacterium. RNAcentral describes it as "partial 16S ribosomal RNA". It matches the Rfam family "Bacterial small subunit ribosomal RNA", at positions 28 to 507 of the family's 1533-position model. The record is from RNAcentral.
GAUGAACGCUGGCGGCGUGCCUAAUACAUGCAAGUCGAGCGAACAGAUGAGGAGCUUGCUCCUCUUACGUUAGCGUCGGACGGGUGAGUAACACGUGGAUAACCUACCUAUAAGACUGGGAUAACUUCGGGAAACCGGAGCUCAUACCGGAUAAUAUAUUUAACCUCAUGGUUCAAUAGUGAAAGACGGUUUUGCUGUCACUUAUACAUGGAUCCGCGCCGCAUUAGCUAGUUGGUAAGGUAACGGCUGACCAAGGCGACGACGCGUAGCCGACCUGAGAGGGUGACCGGCAACACUGGAACUGGGAAAGGGUCCAGAUCCCACCGGGAGGAAGAAGUAGGGAAUCUUCGGAAAUGGGCGAAGGCUGGACGGAGAACCGCCGGGUGAGUGAUGAAGGUCUUCGGAUCGUAAAACUCUGUUAUUAGGGAAGAACAAAUGUGUAAGUAACUAUGCACGUAUUGACGGUACCUAAUCAGAAAGCCACGGCUAACUACGUG